GGCAUCUAACCCUUCUUUACGUGACUCAGAGGAAGAGGACUUCCAGGUUCCAGGACUGAUUCUGGUGCCACUUGAACAAUGGAUGAUGAUGAUUUUGGUGGUUUUGAGGCUGCAGAGACUUUUGGUGGUGGAAAUGGUGACGCUCAAACAACAUCUCCUGCUAUUCCUUGGGCUGCCUUUCCUACAGUAUCUGGAGUCCAUCUUUCAUCAGCGUCUCCUGAGAUUGUACUGGACCAUGACCACUCUUCUCCUUCAGUUGGCUGCCUCUCUUCCGAUGCCAUCAUUUCAUCUCCAGAGAAUAUCCAUACAGAUAACAGCAUUGUGAGUCACAAUGUUCCUAAAGCACAGAUUCAGCAAUCAACACACACUCAUCUGGAUAUCUCACUUUUUCCAUUGAAUUUAACUGAUGAAAAAAAUAAUGGAACAAUUGCCCUUGUGGAUGAUUCUGAGGAUCCUGGAGCCAAUGUAUCAAACAUAGAGCUUCAGCAAAAAAUUUCAAGUCUAGAGAUUAAGCUCAAAGUAUCUGAAGAAGAAAAACAGAGAAUUAAAAAGGAUGUAGAAUCAUUAAUGGAAAAACAUAGUGUCUUAGAAAAAGGCUUUCUAAAAGAAAAAGAGCAAGAGGCCAUUUCUUUUCAAGAUAGAUACAAAGAACUUCAGGAAAAACAUAAACAAGAAUUGGAAGACAUGAGGAAAGCUGGUCAUGAAGCCCUCAGCAUUAUUGUGGAUGAAUAUAAGGCACUACUACAAUCUUCAGUUAAGCAACAAGUCGAAGCUAUUGAAAAACAGUACAUUUCUGCAAUUGAGAAACAAGCACACAAAUGUGAGGAGCUGCUAAAUGCUCAGCAUCAGAGGCUUCUUGAAAUGCUAGAUACAGAGAAGGAAUUGUUAAGAGAAAAAAUAAAGGAAGCUUUGACUCAGCAAUCUCAAGAACAGAAGGAAAUAUUGGAAAAAUGUUUAGAGGAAGAAAGGCAAAGAAAUAAAGAAGCUUUAGUAUCUGCUGCAAAGUUUGAGAAAGAAGCAAUGAAGGAUGUAGUUUUAAAAGCUAUAGAAGAAGAGAGAAAAAAUUUGGAAAAAGCCCAUGCUGAAGAAAGG
Molecule: RNA transcript, 1092 nt
Organism: Otolemur garnettii (small-eared galago)
Lineage: Eukaryota; Metazoa; Chordata; Mammalia; Primates; Galagidae
Gene name: coiled-coil domain-containing protein 91 pseudogene
Exons: 1
Source: RefSeq, a predicted model, not a curated record